Aegilops tauschii subsp. strangulata is the source of this 2698-nucleotide long non-coding RNA. RefSeq lists it as uncharacterized. NCBI's taxonomy places the organism in Eukaryota, Viridiplantae, Streptophyta, Magnoliopsida, Poales, Poaceae. The record is from RefSeq and is a predicted model, not a curated record.
GUGGGCAAAGUGUUCCUGCAAGCGAGUUGGCUUGAAGUUGAGCCGUGGCCCGCUUGGUUGCACGCGAGCGCCAGGUUGGUAGCUGGCGCUUGGGCGCUGAAGAGGCGCUCCCUCGUUGUCCUUGUAUUGUAUCUUCUCUCUAAUUCUCAUCCUCGCACGUUUUAAAAAUCUGAAAUGCCAUCCGUAACCGCCCUCAUAUGGCCAUUUCAGUGGAUCCAGCUCCCAUGCCGUACGGUGUGCCAUUGGGCCACUGACAAAAGGGGACAGGUUUCUAGUGGGCCCACAUGUGGUCGAAUGGCAGGGGAUCCUCGUCCCAUUUCAGUUGCUACAGUGCAUCUCCGCAUGCAACCCCCACCUCGACUUUUCCCUCUCAUUUUCUUCGUCGAAACCAUGUAACAAGCAUCGGGAACCAACACUCUUAUGAUUCCCAUCCAAAACAAUAAGGUGUGCAUGAAGGGUGAUCUCUCGCGUGGUCCACGUCGGAUUUACUAGGAGACAAAACGUUCGCUUCGUCCAGAAGAAAGAGAAAAUAACAGAGAAAGGGAUUGGCCAGCGGCCCAGCUCCCAGUCAGCCAGUCCCCAUCCCCGAUUCCUCUCCCUCUCCCUUUUCCCUCGUCUGCCGCCGCCACUGGCGACCUCGCCGCAGCCGCCGUGACCAUCCACGCCCUCCCCAACGGCCACCCCUUCUCUCCUCCCCUUACCUUCUCCUUACAAUCGGCAACCUCCUCCCCUCUCCCUCGCACCAGAUCGAGCAGCAGGCCGGGAUCCGAAGCAGCCUCAGAUCCGGCACGCCGAAAGCGAUGGUUUCCGUUGAGAACGCCAUGGACAAGGUGCUCUGGCCCGGUUGCUGCAGCCAUGGACAAGGUGCCCUCCCCAUCUCUCUCUUCUCUCUCUGUUGGGUUCGUAUUGGAAGCAAGAUGUGUGCGGAUCGGAUGAAGAAUAGAAGAGGAAGGAUCUUGAGGAAGAGUGAAGAACAAGAUGAUCUCUCUCUCUGUCUCUCUGAUUUGCUUAGGUUAUUUUCAUGUGUUGCACUGGCCAUCUCUCCACGGGAUUGAGCUGACAUGGUCAUGGCACUGACGCAAUUACUCGGUGCAAACCCCUUCUCGUUGCUUGCAAAGGCAGAUCCCACGACCUCACAGAAGUUUUUAGUCUUCACCUGCAUUUGCUUUUGGCUUAAAAUUCAUAUAUAUAUGAGUAGGUGACAGUGAUAUCCUGAAGUGCAGAGUGGCUGGGCUAAUUUACUAAUGAAACUCACUAAUAUAUCCUUGGAUGUCUCCUUGGAUGUCUUGAUCAUGAUAUAACCUCCAAUUAAGCGUGCCUAAAAGAGGCAUCCGUUUCCCUUCCCAUGACAAGAGAAAUUUUCCACCUUUUUCUUGCUGUACAGCACCCCGUGUUUCUUCUUUAGGUAUUAAGGUAGCAGGCAGGACAGAAUUGAGAUGGAGAGAUUGAGGAUGAUUAGUUUUGUGAUUGACUGGUUUGUUCGUUUGGUUAGGAAACGGAACAACAUUCUAUGCAACUUUCAAAGAAUAAACUUUUCCUUAUCUUUAGCGCAUGUAGAGAAGAUCAUAAGCAUGCAAAAACAUGGUCUUGCUUAUUUUACAAUAGUUUCUUUGCGAAUAAAUGAGAUGUGGAAUCUAGAGAAAAUUGAUAUUUUAGUUGUAUAGUAUCGCGGGAAAAUCAUAACACGGCCGUCUUCAUCGGGGAUGGGCACGGUGAGAAGUGGCAACGCGUGAGCAUAUGUUUGGCAAGGAAGGUGAUCCACAUGCCAUCUGCUGCAAGGUUGUGAUAACGUCGAGUUCGUGUUACCCAAAGCACACAGCGCAAGCGGGACAAGCUGUAACAGCUAGUGUUCUUCCCUGUCGGUCCUGAGUUCCUGGAGUUGCUGAAGAAUUUGAUAUAAGUCAAGGUUAAAAUUUGAACAGGAUAGGUGUCUACACCACGAAAGAAAAUGAAGAUAUAUACUUGCAUUAGAUGAAAGUGGCACAACAACAACAAUACAUAACAGAAACAUAGUGUAUCAAGAAGCGUCGGCUGCCUGUAGGAGAUAUUUUGCCCUGCAGUUUCAGUUUGAGAUGAACUUUACAGAGACAUCUAAUCAUUUCCCACCAGUGCAUGUUUUGAAAAAAAAGCUGAGUGUCGCUGAUGCAAAUAAGUCAACAGUCUAGAUGCAUUUAUGGAAUUACAACUAUUGCUGGUGGGAAAUCAAGCAGAGGAGGGCAUGUUGGUGGACCAAGUGACGAUGCAAAAUUUGCUACUGAUUUUGAAGUCCAUUACAUUGCCAGUCGUUGCUCCCUUUUGGUGAUUGACAGAGGAAAUCAAGCUAUUAGGGAGAUUCAGCUCAACUUAGAUGACCGUGUGUACCAGUAUGAAGCUGGUUUUCCUAUAGGUAUGUAUUGUGCAAUUAUUAUAUGCCCUGAGGGUUCAUUUCACUAGGUUGUUCCCUCACUAGAUCAUCCUAAUAAUGUUGAAGCACUGACAUUCUUAUUUCUUGUUGUCUUGUACAUAUCACUAGAAUUCAGUAUUGUGCCAAGCCGGUGAGAAGCUGACUUUAGCACAUGCUAUCUUAAUUUUUGUCAUACAUCAGCAGUUACUAGAUUUGUGCCAUGUACUUCCUCCUGAUCCUGCAGUACUAUUUUUUAGGCAAACCCACACUACUAAAUAAUAUGUAUAUGAGUAUAUCAUAUAUGGGCUCAUUUCA